AGAGUUUGAUUAUGGCUCAGGAUGAACGCUAGCGACAGGCUAACACAUGCAAGUCGAGGGGCAGCAUAAAAGUAGCAAUACUUGGUGGCGACCGGCGCACGGGUGAGUAACGCGUAUGCAACCUACCUAUCAGAGGGGAAUAACCCGGCGAAAGUCGGACUAAUACCGCAUAAAACAGGGGCACCGCAUGGUGAUAUUUGUUAAAGAAAUUCGCUGAUAGAUGGGCAUGCGUUCCAUUAGGUAGUUGGUGAGGUAACGGCUCACCAAGCCGACGAUGGAUAGGGGAACUGAGAGGUUGGUCCCCCACACUGGUACUGAGACACGGACCAGACUCCUACGGGAGGCAGCAGUGAGGAAUAUUGGUCAAUGGGCGAGAGCCUGAACCAGCCAAGUCGCGUGAAGGAAGAAGGAUCUAUGGUUCGUAAACUUCUUUUGCAGGGGAAUAAAGUGCAGGACGUGUCCUGUCUUGUAUGUACCCUGAGAAUAAGGAUCGGCUAACUCCGUGCCAGCCGCCGC
Molecule: ribosomal RNA, 516 nt
Filed under: uncultured bacterium
Lineage: Bacteria
Description: bacterial SSU rRNA
Rfam family: Bacterial small subunit ribosomal RNA
Source: RNAcentral